This 66-nucleotide ribozyme is filed under the name Aedes aegypti (yellow fever mosquito). Its description in RNAcentral is "drz-agam-1 ribozyme". It matches the Rfam family "drz-agam-1 ribozyme". The record is from Rfam by way of RNAcentral. Lineage: Eukaryota; Metazoa; Arthropoda; Insecta; Diptera; Culicidae.
UGUCCAGUAACUCCUAUCCCUACCUCCCCGUGGUGCCGCCUGGGAUACGAGUAUCCUUAGGGAAGA